Molecule: ribosomal RNA, 253 nt
Filed under: uncultured bacterium
Lineage: Bacteria
Description: partial 16S ribosomal RNA
Rfam family: Bacterial small subunit ribosomal RNA
Source: RNAcentral
UACGAAGGGGGCUAGCGUUUUUCGGAAUUACUGGGCGUAAAGGGCGCGUAGGCGGUCUUGUAAGUCAGAUGUGAAAGCCCCGGGCUCAACCCGGGAAUAGCAUUUGAUACUGCGAGGCUUGAGUCCGGGAGAGGAUGGCGGAAUUCCCAGUGUAGAGGUGAAAUUCGUAGAUAUUGGGAAGAACACCGGUGGGGAAGGCGGCCAUCUGGACCGGUACUGACGCUGAGUCGCGAAAGCGUGGGGAGCAAACAGG